GGGGGAAUAUUGCGCAAUGGGGGAAACCCUGACGCAGCGACGCCGUGUGAGGGAAGAAGGCUUUCGGGUCGUAAACCUCUGUCGGGAAGGAAGAACCCCUCGGGUCCCAAUAGGGCUCGAGGCUGACGGUACUUCCAAAGGAAGCACCGGCUAACUCCGUGCCAGCAGCCGCGGUAAUACGGAGGGUGCAAGCGUUAAUCGGAAUCACUGGGCGUAAAGCGCGCGUAGGCGGCCUUUUAAGUCGGACGUGAAAGCCCUCGGCUCAACCGGGGAAUUGCGUUCGAUACUGGGAGGCUUGAGUCCUGGAGAGGGUGGCGGAAUUCCGGGUGUAGGAGUGAAAUCCGUAGAUACCCGGAGGAACACCGGUGGCGAAGGCGGCCACCUGGACAGGUACUGACGCUG
Molecule: ribosomal RNA, 402 nt
Filed under: uncultured bacterium
Lineage: Bacteria
Description: bacterial SSU rRNA
Rfam family: Bacterial small subunit ribosomal RNA
Source: RNAcentral